UCCAGAAAGGAAAAGUUUAGAAGAACAAAAAAUAUAAAAGAAGGCUUUGACCAGACAUGACCUGCGGACACAUCAGUGUGGUUUUCUAAUGGCGGAGGACCAACGGAGACCCGGCGGAGGACCGGUGAGUGAAGGCAUAUGCUGCUCUGCCGGACAGGCAUCCCAGAUACAGAUGUGAUGUCAGCUCCAGAAACCUCCCAGCAUCUCAUCCUGUAGCCCUGCUCCCUCAGACUUCAAUUUUCAUCAUCUCAUCAGACAGUUCUGCAGCUGAUGAGACUGCUCAAGGUCAAGAGGGUAAAUUAUCUCAUUCAAUCACUGUGAUGAUCACUUCAUCUUGGCAGACAGUUUGCUUUCCUCCCUGAAGACUAUCUCUAUGACAACAGAGUGAGAAGAGGAUCAGGGGAGACUGCCG
This is a long non-coding RNA of Scomber scombrus (Atlantic mackerel), 412 nucleotides long. RefSeq lists it as uncharacterized. Lineage: Eukaryota; Metazoa; Chordata; Actinopteri; Scombriformes; Scombridae. The record is from RefSeq and is a predicted model, not a curated record. The transcript has 3 exons.